AUCAGAUGAAUAUUAAACUUUCUCCCCUGUAGGUUGAUGCCUAUUAAUUCUAUAGUUAAUAGUAUACCAUAAAAAUUCACAUACUACACUUUUGUCAAGAACAGUGGGCCAGUAUUUUUUAGGACACACCAUGUGCUAGAUUCGAGCCUUAGUUAGCAACCACAGAAGCCCUUACUGACUAAAACCAGUAACUUGUCAGUCUUAUUUCUUCACAUAGCAAAUUCAAAUUGGCAUAAUUCUACAACUUAAAUGAAGAUAUUUUGGAUAAAAACAAGAACAUUAUUAUUGGUUAUGUCUACAGAAGGAAUCUGUUUGGCAGUGAUUUUCAAUUCCUCUAAAAACAUGAUUUCCCGAAUCCAUAAAAGCCUAUUUUUGGGUAAAUCAUAGGACUUUAACUGCUGAAAAAGUUGGACUUUCAUUUGGGUGUUGUCAGUGUUUAAAUGUCUUUAUGCCAUUCCCCCCACCAUCCAUUUUUUUGAGUCUGAAAGAAUGUAAAAAAAACAGCAGACAGAUGCAGAAAUAAGGGUAUUCCAGGAAAACAGCAGGUGUACAGUUCUGAGGUGGGCCAGCAUGGUGCCUACCAGAAGCUACUUCUGUUGAGAUUCUGAAAGGUAUAAGAAGUUUGAAGGAGAUCUUUAUGUAGCUGAACCAUGGGUAGAACUAGUCCCAGUCUUGUGUUAGGAUCUAUUUCACUGUUUUAAUUAUGCUAACUCUAAGUAAGCUAACAGUAAAAUUAUGAAAAUUAUGAAAACAUACAACAAAAGUAUGAUUUUUCAAGAAUAAGUAAAGACUUUGGUUUUCAGUUUAUGUGAGGAUUGUUAGCUUCCACCCCUGCUUAUAUUGUAGGGCCCUGUAUGUCAAGAGCACUUCCAAGUGUUUAACAUAUCUGUCAACCUCAAGGAGAAGGACCAGUGACCCUUAGCAUAGUACUGGGCACCUACCAUUGUAACACCCAGUUGUAAAUAGUCCACUUCCUGGCAUCCUUGGGGGGGGGUGGUGAAGGAGACAGUAUUUAGGCAGCUUGCACUUUCUUUCAUACUUAUACUACAUCAUAUUAUAUUCUCUUUAACAUAUUUCCCUUUUGAAAAAAAAAAAAAGAUGGGGCACCUGAGUGGCUCAGUUGGUUAAGCAUCGGACUCUUGGUUUCGGCUCAGGCCAUGAUCUCAUGGGUUGUGGAAUCAAGCCCCAAGUUGGGCUCUGAGUUCAGCGGGGAGUCUGAGAUUCUCUCCCUCUGCCCCUCCCCCUGCUUGUGUACGCUCUCUCUCUCAAAUAAAUAAAUAAAUCUUAAAAAAAAACACCCCAUAUUUCCCUUUUGUCUUCUAAUUCUAACCCAGUUUAUUAUCUCAGUAAAAUUAAUCUUUAUCCCCCAUUUCUUUUGUAAUCCCCUAAGAAUGACUAUAAUUACCUCUGACAAGAAGACUAUAUUCAAAUCAGGGAUAAGGAAAUCUAUGUGCUUUGAAGGGAAAAGAAUUUUUAUUUUAUUUUAUUUUUAUUUUAUUAUUGCUUUGAAAGGAAAAGAAAUUUUAAAAAGAAACAAAUGCAUCAGCCUCUGUAGUCCUUGAGAGAACCCAUAAGUCCCACUCAGAUUAUCCAUUAAUUCCCAUAUCCAUUGUCAUUGCUCUCUAAACUGCCUCUAUGCAUCAUCGCAACCUAAAAUGCCAAAUAAACAAAACCCACAAUCAAAUAUUUCUAAUUUUAUGCCUUGGUUUUAUUUAUUAUUAUCCAGGUUUGGAGGUAGAAGACUAUCAAUUAGGCAUAUUGUUUGUAUGAAAAAAUAUGUUCUGACUUUCAGACCACCAACUUGAGAGCCACAGACGGACCUGCAGUUAUGUUAUUUUUGGUCCACAUUGUAUAUUAAACAUUUUUAUUUUUUAUUUUUUUUACAUUUAUUUAUUUAUUGAAGUCAUCUCUACACCCAACGUGGGGCUUGAACUCACGACCCCAAGCUGAAGAGUUGCAUGCUCUUCCAACUGAGCCAGCCAGGUGCCCCUGUAUAUUAAACAUUUUUAAAUUCAUUGCCAACACCUAAAAUUCAGAAUGUUUCACACAACAAUCUGGGCUUCCUGCUUCUCUUGAAAAAUUAGAUCAUCUGGCAAUAGUAGGCCAGAAUUUCCAUAUCACACAAUCACCUAGGGAAAGCAGCAGCUUCAUCCUUAUUCUUUACUCAUUUGCAUUAGCUGCUGUGGCCCCUGAAGACAUGAGUUUAAGGCUUCUACAGUGUUGAGUGUUGCAUAGAAGUUGGCUAACUGAGGAAACCCAGCACAGUCCUAUGUUCUAAUUAGAUACAGGAUCACACUGAGAUAAAAUCAAACAUCCACCUUCCUCACCUUCCCCCAUGGGAACACUAUGUGAACAUUUGUAGUCUAUCCCCAGCAAAGGGUUGGACACUAGACAUGCCGGAGACCAGAAAGAAUUGGAUCCAGCAGAGGAGAAAUAAUACUUAGAAUAACAGAGAGUAGGCCCUGCCUGGGACUCAGAGCUGGAUUGGGGCCCUGGUUCUGGCCCCCAAAUAGAGGGAAAUCAUUCAAUUCAUUCAAAUUCAGUUUAAAUUUUGAUUUGUAAAACAGCAGGGCUGUUACAGGUGUGAGGAGGUUAAAGAAUAAGUUUAACUCUUCUCCAACACUUUGGAUACAUUGUGUUCAAAAUGAAAAUCAAAUUUGAAACUAAAGGGCUGACCAGGAUCUGAUUGCUUCCAGUUAAUAUAAUUUAGCAAUGUCAGAAUAGGUUCACAUUGUUAUUUUACUAUUAUAUUCAUUGUUUAUAUCACAUUAUUAUAUUCUUUAUUGUUAUUUUAAAGGCCAACAAUAUUUUAAAAUAUUUUAGUGUUUGUUUUUUCUUUUUCUUCUUUUUUUCAUUUUCUUUCUCCUUUUCAAUUUCUGCCCCCUCUUAUUUCUCUGAGUCUUGAGACAUUGCAGAGUGGAGAUCUUCCUCAUUAGACUGGACCUCUUCUUCCUCUUCGUCUUCUUGUUCCCACCUUGUCAGGCCCUCAGCCUGUAAGGUCCAUCCCUAUCCCUCCAUCCUCGGUGAGCUCAUGGAUUUUAACAAGUACCAUCUUAAGAGAUGUCAUCGUACUUGUUUACCAGAGUCUGAAACCCUUACUACAUUUGGCCUCUACCUGAUCACGCUGCUCGUGCAGCUCUGAGGGCAAGGACUGGGCCUUUCACAGAGUGAGGCGGGCUCUCACGAAAGGCAUUUUUAGGCUUUGGUGCCCUCUCUGCCCGGGCCUGGGCUCCUCGGCCAAGUGCCCAGCGCGCCGUCAGUCUCCGCUCCUCGCUCCGCCUGCCCGCCUGCGCUCCGUGGCCGCCUGGCGGCGCUCCAGAGCUCCCAGCUCCGUGUCUCGGCCAAGUUGGAGGACGAGAGUUAAAGGUGAAAGGCAGAGCGGGAAGGCUGAGGGCCCCCGGCGGGGAGGGGCCGGCCUUUGUGACCCAGAGGCUGCACCAAACCUCCGCUGCGAGAGAAGCCAGGAGGGAGACGCCUCCCCUGUCUCCUGCCCCCGUCGGCUUUCAGGCGACCCAACGCCCUCUCCGCAGCCGUUCAUCCCCCCGCCCCGGCUGCUCGCCCGCCUCCGGGCUGGUGCGCGCCGAUGGCCGCAACCGGGGUUCGGUUCUCAGAGAUCGCGGGGGGGACAGACGUAGACCAAACCUCGCACGGAGAACGGAGAGAGAGAGAGACAGCGAGAGCAGGAACACAAGCAGGGGGAGUGGGAGAGGGAGAAGCAGGCUUCCCGCUGAACAGGAACCCGAUGCGGGGCUUGAACCCAGGACCCUGGGACCAUGACCUGAGCCGAAGGCAGACGCUUAACGACUGAGCACCCAGGCGCCGGAGGUCCUUGUGAGAUUCAAACUGGUGAAAAUUCAAGCGGUCAGAAACGGCAAAGCACUGUACAAAAGAGUAUUAUGAUUUUUAUAAUUUAUUACAUGUCUUAUAUAGUAUGCAGUGAUUUAUUAUAAUCAUGUUCUGAAUGUACACAAAGGAGUCUUAAUUUAUUAUAAUCAUCAUCUGAAUCUGGCCCUUCAGGCAUCUGUAGAUAUCUAUAAAAAUCAUUUGCUUUAUAUCUUUUGGAUUUAUAUGACAUUUAAGAAACAAUUUUCAAAGGUCACAUCUAAUUUGCUGCUUACUGCACUUUACUUAAAGCAGAAGAUUACCCCAAUUUCUGGAUUAUCCUGUGUAACACACUUGUGAAGUCAGGCGGGAGGCAGGAGUGGGCUAGCUCUGAAUUGUAUAGCAGAAGGGAGUUUGGGAGAUUUUGUUGUGAAGUUUCGUUCUUUUGUGCUGUCUUUAGUCAGCUGUUUUUUGGAACACUCAAAUGAAAACAAAUGCUUCUUGUCCUGGCAGUCAAGGGAGGCUUUUAGCAGCUCAAGUAGCCUCAUGAAGGACAUUUGUUUAUGACCAGCUGUACAUGGGGCACUGGAAAAAAUUUUGAUCCCCAAGACUCCGACCGUGUCUGUCCUAAGGAGCUCACAAUUAGUUAUUGCUAUUAAAGAUAACAGAAAUGUGAAUAAAAACACAAAAGUGGUGCCUGGGUGGCCCAGUCAUUAAGCGUCUGCCUUGGGCUUAGGUCAUGAUCCCAGAGUCCUGGGAUGAGCCCCGCAUCGGGCUCCCUGUUCGGCGGGAAGCCUGCUUCUCCCUCUCCCACUCCCCCUGCUUGUGUUCCCUCUCUGUCAAAUAAAUAAAUAAAGCUUGUGUUCCCUGUCUCUCUGUCAAAUAAAUAAAUAAAAUCUUUAAUAAAAAAAAGAACGCAAAGUGAUUUUUUUCAAGUCUCAUUUCAGUUGUCAUGGGUGUGUGUAUGGAGAAGAGUGAGAAAGGAAACAGGACCCCAGAGAGAGAAAUGUGCUGGU
Long non-coding RNA from Mirounga angustirostris (Northern elephant seal), 4838 nucleotides. RefSeq lists it as uncharacterized. The record is from RefSeq and is a predicted model, not a curated record. The transcript is spliced from 3 exons. NCBI's taxonomy places the organism in Eukaryota, Metazoa, Chordata, Mammalia, Carnivora, Phocidae.